RNAcentral lists this ribosomal RNA (254 nucleotides) under uncultured bacterium. RNAcentral describes it as "partial 16S ribosomal RNA". It matches the Rfam family "Bacterial small subunit ribosomal RNA", at positions 524 to 777 of the family's 1533-position model. The record is from RNAcentral.
UAUGAAGGGGGCUAGCGUUGUUCGGAGUUACUGGGCGUAAAGGGCGCGUAGGCGGCGCACCAAGUCAGGCGUGAAAGCCCUGGGCUCAACCCGGGAAUUGCGCUUGAGACUGGUGUGCUCGAGUACGGGAGAGGAUAGUGGAAUUCCCAGUGUAGAGGUGAAAUUCGUAGAUAUUGGGAAGAACACCGGUGGCGAAGGCGGCUAUCUGGACCGUAACUGACGCUGAGGCGCGAAAGCGUGGGGAGCAAACAGGG